UGGCAACCCACUCAGGUCCCCUUCCGCGUUGCGGAAGCUUUGUUCUUUCGCUCUUUGCAAUAAAUCUUGCUGCUGCCUUUAUGAGCUGUAUCACUCACCGUGAAGAUCUGCAGCUUCACUCCUGAAACCAGUGAGACCACAAACCCACCAGAAGGAAGAAACUCUGAACACGUCCGAACAUCAGAAGGAACAAACUCCGGACACACCAUCUUUAAGAACUGUAACACUCACCGCGAGGGUCCGUGGUUUCAUUAUUGAAGUCAGCGAGACUAAGAACCCACCAAUUUCGGACACACCAGCACUUUGGGAAGCCGAGCCACGUGUACCAUAAGGAACAGACAAGAUGGCGCCAGCCCAGUGGAAAGCUCAUUUGCAUAACAAGAUUAGGGUGGGGCGACCAGCUUUCCCCGGCCUCUAUGUAAGUGUCACACCUGGUCAAACCAAUAUGUGAGCCCGGGUAAAUCACACGCUGCCGCCUUCUCAAGCCUGCCUAUAAAAUCUGCGGCAAUCAGCUGCUAUUCUCUGUUUUCCAGCCUCUGUCACCCAAGGAGCUGCUCUCCUCUUUCCUUUCUUCUACCUAUUAAACUUUACACUCCUUAACCCA
Long non-coding RNA from Homo sapiens (human), 604 nucleotides. RefSeq lists it as uncharacterized. Lineage: Eukaryota; Metazoa; Chordata; Mammalia; Primates; Hominidae. The record is from RefSeq and is a predicted model, not a curated record. The transcript has 2 exons.